RNAcentral lists this ribosomal RNA (284 nucleotides) under uncultured bacterium. Its description in RNAcentral is "partial 16S ribosomal RNA". It matches the Rfam family "Bacterial small subunit ribosomal RNA", at positions 28 to 307 of the family's 1533-position model. The record is from RNAcentral.
GAUGAACGCUAGCGGCAGGCUUAACACAUGCAAGUCGAACGGUAACAUAAGGUGCUUGCAUCUUGAUGACGAGUGGCGCACGGGUGCGUAACGCGUAUACAAUCUGCCUUUUACAGGGGUAUAGCCUUUAGAAAUGAAGAAUAAUCCCCCAUAGUAUUAUAAAGUUGCAUGACUAUAUAAUUAAAGAUUUAUCGGUAAAAGAUGAGUAUGCGUUCUAUUAGCUAGUAGGUGUGGUAACGGCACACCUAGGCAACGAUAGAUAGGGGCCCUGAGAGGGGGAUCCC